RNAcentral lists this ribosomal RNA (253 nucleotides) under uncultured bacterium. Its description in RNAcentral is "partial 16S ribosomal RNA". It matches the Rfam family "Bacterial small subunit ribosomal RNA", at positions 524 to 776 of the family's 1533-position model. The record is from RNAcentral.
UACAGAGGUCUCGAGCGUUAGGCGGAAUCACUGGGCUUAAAGCGUGUGUAGGUGGAUCGUUAAGUACCUUGUGAAAUCCCACGGCUUAACCGUGGAACUGCUUGGUAUACUGGCGGUCUUGAGCCAGCUAGGGGCUACCGGAACAAAUGGUGGAGCGGUGAAAUGCGUAGAUAUCUAGAGGAACACCGGUGGCGAAAGCGACACCCUGGCCCGCAACUGACGCUGAGGCGCGAAAGCGUGGGUAGCAAACAGG